This is a long non-coding RNA of Nerophis ophidion (straightnose pipefish), 231 nucleotides long. RefSeq lists it as uncharacterized. NCBI's taxonomy places the organism in Eukaryota, Metazoa, Chordata, Actinopteri, Syngnathiformes, Syngnathidae. The record is from RefSeq and is a predicted model, not a curated record. The transcript has 2 exons.
CAGGCUCAUGACAAAUGAAUUAAUGUCCAAUCUGAACAUGAAGGGGAGAGGGGGAAAAACUGCCUUUGCCGAGACGAAGCUGCUCGAUGUAGUCACAGCUAGUGUCUUGGAUACCCAGAAGGGGACCGAAACGAUGGUCCAUGAUGCCAUAAAAAAUAAACUGAAAUAUGCCCCUGGACGAAAGGGAGGAAUAGGAUGGGCAUCACAGGCUAAAUAAAUAAUUAUAUCGAU